This 76-nucleotide transfer RNA is filed under the name Flaviflexus salsibiostraticola. RNAcentral's name for it is "tRNA-Arg". It matches the Rfam family "tRNA". From Rfam's summary of the family: Transfer RNA (tRNA) molecules are approximately 80 nucleotides in length. Their secondary structure includes four short double-helical elements and three loops (D, anti-codon, and T loops). Further hydrogen bonds mediate the characteristic L-shaped molecular structure. tRNAs have two regions of fundamental functional importance: the anti-codon, which is responsible for specific mRNA codon recognition, and the 3' end, to which the tRNAs corresponding amino acid is attached (by aminoacyl-tRNA synthetases). tRNAs cope with the degeneracy of the genetic code in two manners: having more than one tRNA (with a specific anti-codon) for a particular amino acid; and 'wobble' base-pairing, i.e. permitting non-standard base-pairing at the 3rd anti-codon position. Lineage: Bacteria; Bacillati; Actinomycetota; Actinomycetes; Actinomycetales; Actinomycetaceae. The record is from RNAcentral.
GCCCCGGUAGCUCAGGGGAUAGAGCGUCUGCCUCCGGAGCAGAAGGUCGCAGGUUCGAAUCCUGUCCGGGGCACCA